Molecule: transfer RNA, 75 nt
Filed under: Actinomycetes bacterium
Lineage: Bacteria; Bacillati; Actinomycetota; Actinomycetes
Also listed under: 9 other names
Description: tRNA-Arg
Rfam family: tRNA
About the family: Transfer RNA (tRNA) molecules are approximately 80 nucleotides in length. Their secondary structure includes four short double-helical elements and three loops (D, anti-codon, and T loops).
Source: RNAcentral
GCCCCCUUAGCUCAGGGGAUAGAGCACCGCCCUCCGGAGGCGGGAGCGCAGGUUCGAAUCCUGCAGGGGGCGCCA